Molecule: ribosomal RNA, 400 nt
Filed under: uncultured bacterium
Lineage: Bacteria
Description: bacterial SSU rRNA
Rfam family: Bacterial small subunit ribosomal RNA
Source: RNAcentral
UGGGGAAUAUUGGACAAUGGGCGAAAGCCUGAUCCAGCCAUGCCGCGUGUGUGAAGAAGGUCUUCGGAUUGUAAAGCACUUUAAGUUGGGAGGAAGGGCAGUAACUUAAUACGUUGCUGUUUUGACGUUACCGACAGAAUAAGCACCGGCUAACUCUGUGCCAGCAGCCGCGGUAAUACAGAGGGUGCAAGCGUUAAUCGGAAUUACUGGGCGUAAAGCGCGUGUAGGUGGUUUGGUAAGUAGGGCGUGAAAGCUCCUGGCUCAACUGGGAGAGGACGUUCUAAACUGCCAAGCUUGAGGAUGGUAGAGGGAGGUGGAAUUCCGGGUGUAGCGGUGGAAUGCGCAGAUAUCCGGAGGAACACCAGUGGCGAAGGCGGCCUCCUGGACCACUCCUGACACU